UAGCAAACACUUCUUAGAGGGACAAUCUGUGCUCAGCAGAAGGAAGAUUGAGGCAAUAACAGGUCAGUGAUGCCCUUAGAUGAUCUGGGCUGCACGCGCGCUACAAUGGUGCAUUCAACGAGUUCAACCUGGCUUGAAAAGGCUGGGUAAUCUUUAAAGUGCAUCAAAGUUGGGCUAGAUGAUUGCAAUUAUUCAUCUUCAACAAGGAAUAUCUAGUAAAUGCAAGUCAUCAACUUGCGUUGAUUACGUCCCUGCCCUUUGUACACACCGCCCGUCGCUUCUACCGAUUGAAUAAUCCGGUGAAUUGAGUGG
RNAcentral lists this ribosomal RNA (312 nucleotides) under Haplosporida sp. RNAcentral describes it as "SSU rRNA". It matches the Rfam family "Eukaryotic small subunit ribosomal RNA", at positions 1398 to 1713 of the family's 1831-position model. Lineage: Eukaryota; Endomyxa; Ascetosporea; Haplosporida. The record is from RNAcentral.